This 493-nucleotide ribosomal RNA is filed under the name uncultured bacterium. RNAcentral describes it as "partial 16S ribosomal RNA". It matches the Rfam family "Bacterial small subunit ribosomal RNA", at positions 29 to 506 of the family's 1533-position model. The record is from RNAcentral.
AUUGAACGCUGGCGGCAUGCUUUACACAUGCAAGUCGAACGGCAGCGGGGAGGAGCUUGCUUCUCUGCCGGCGAGUGGCGAACGGGUGAGUAAUACAUCGGAACGUGUCGAGAAGAGGGGGAUAACCACCCGAAAGGGUGGCUAAUACCGCAUAAAUUCUGAGGAAGAAAGCUGGGGACCUGGGAAUAGGCCUAGCGCUUUUUGAGCGGCCGAUGUCGGAUUAGCUAGUUGGUGAGGUAAAGGCUCACCAAGGCGAAGAUCUGUAGCGGGUCUGAGAGGAUGGUCCGCCCCACUGGGACUGAGACACGGCCCAGACCCCUACGGGAGGCAGCGGGGGGGAAUUUUGGACAAUGGGGGCAACCCUGUUCCAGCCAUGCCGGGUGUAUGAAGAAGGCCUUAGGGUUGUAAAGGACUUUUGUUAGGGAAAAAAAGUAAGCUGGGAAAAAUGGCUGAUACUGACGGUACCAAAAAAAUAAGCACCGGCUAACUACGU